GGUUAAGCGACUAAGCGUACACGGUGGAUGCCCUGGCAGUCAGAGGCGAUGAAGGGCGUGCUAAUCUGCGAUAAGCGCCGGUAAGGUGAUAUGAACCGUUAUAACCGGCGAUACCCGAAUGGGGAAACCCAGUGUGAUUCGUCACACUAUCAUUAACUGAAUCCAUAGGUUAAUGAGGCGAACCGGGGGAACUGAAACAUCUAAGUACCCCGAGGAAAAGAAAUCAACCGAGAUUCCCCCAGUAGCGGCGAGCGAACGGGGAGGAGCCCAGAGCCUGAAUCAGCAUGUGUGUUAGUGGAAGCGUCUGGAAAGGUGCGCGAUACAGGGUGACAGCCCCGUACACAAAAGCGCAUGUGCUGUGAGCUCGAUGAGUAGGGCGGGACACGUGGUAUCCUGUCUGAAUAUGGGGGGACCAUCCUCCAAGGCUAAAUACUCCUGACUGACCGAUAGUGAACCAGUACCGUGAGGGAAAGGCGAAAAGAACCCCGGCGAGGGGAGUGAAAAAGAACCUGAAACCGUGUACGUACAAGCAGUGGGAGCACAGGUUUACCUGUGUGACUGCGUACCUUUUGUAUAAUGGGUCAGCGACUUAUAUUCUGUAGCAAGGUUAACCGAAUAGGGGAGCCGGAGGGAAACCGAGUCUUAAUUGGGCGUUAAGUUGCAGGGUAUAGACCCGAAACCCGGUGAUCUAGCCAUGGGCAGGUUGAAGGUUGGGUAACACUAACUGGAGGACCGAACCGACUAAUGUUGAAAAAUUAGCGGAUGACCUGUGGCUGGGGGUGAAAGGCCAAUCAAACCGGGAGAUAGCUGGUUCUCCCCGAAAGCUAUUUAGGUAGCGCCUCGUGAAUUCAUCUCCGGGGGUAGAGCACUGUUUCGGCUAGGGGGCCAUCCCGGCUUACCAACCCGAUGCAAACUGCGAAUACCGGAGAAUGUUAUCACGGGAGACACACGGCGGGUGCUAACGUCCGUCGUGAAGAGGGAAACAACCCAGACCGCCAGCUAAGGUCCCAAAGUCAUGGUUAAGUGGGAAACGAUGUGGGAAGGCCCAGACAGCCAGGAUGUUGGCUUAGAAGCAGCCAUCAUUUAAAGAAAGCGUAAUAGCUCACUGGUCGAGUCGGCCUGCGCGGAAGAUGUAACGGGGCUAAACCAUGCACCGAAGCUGCGGCAGCGAACGUAUCACCCAAGACAACUUUACGGAGUUGACGAUUGACGGAGCGAAGCGACGUCAAAGCGUUCAUUAAAGUCGAGUUGGCUUAGGGAUACGUUCGUUGGGUAGGGGAGCGUUCUGUAAGCCUGUGAAGGUGUGUCGUGAGGCAUGCUGGAGGUAUCAGAAGUGCGAAUGCUGACAUAAGUAACGAUAAAGCGGGUGAAAAGCCCGCUCGCCGGAAGACCAAGGGUUCCUGUCCAACGUUAAUCGGGGCAGGGUGAGUCGACCCCUAAGGCGAGGCCGAAAGGCGUAGUCGAUGGGAAACGGGUUAAUAUUCCCGUACUUGGUGUUACUGCGAAGGGGGGACGGAGAAGGCUAUGUUGGCCGGGCGACGGUUGUCCCGGUUUAAGCGUGUAGGUGUGUGUUCCAGGUAAAUCCGGUUCACUUUAACACUGAGGCGUGACGACGAGGCACUACGGUGCUGAAGCAACAAAUGCCCUGCUUCCAGGAAAAGCCUCUAAGCAUCAGGUAACAUCAAAUCGUACCCCAAACCGACACAGGUGGUCAGGUAGAGAAUACCAAGGCGCUUGAGAGAACUCGGGUGAAGGAACUAGGCAAAAUGGUGCCGUAACUUCGGGAGAAGGCACGCUGACACGUAGGUGAAGUGAUUUACUCAUGGAGCUGAAGUCAGUCGAAGAUACCAGCUGGCUGCAACUGUUUAUUAAAAACACAGCACUGUGCAAACACGAAAGUGGACGUAUACGGUGUGACGCCUGCCCGGUGCCGGAAGGUUAAUUGAUGGGGUCAGCGCAAGCGAAGCUCCUGAUCGAAGCCCCGGUAAACGGCGGCCGUAACUAUAACGGUCCUAAGGUAGCGAAAUUCCUUGUCGGGUAAGUUCCGACCUGCACGAAUGGCGUAAUGAUGGCCAGGCUGUCUCCACCCGAGACUCAGUGAAAUUGAACUCGCUGUGAAGAUGCAGUGUACCCGCGGCAAGACGGAAAGACCCCGUGAACCUUUACUAUAGCUUGACACUGAACAUUGAGCCUUGAUGUGUAGGAUAGGUGGGAGGCUUUGAAGUGUGGACGCCAGUCUGCAUGGAGCCGACCUUGAAAUACCACCCUUUAAUGUUUGAUGUUCUAACGUGGACCCGUAAUCCGGGUUGCGGACAGUGUCUGGUGGGUAGUUUGACUGGGGCGGUCUCCUCCUAAAGAGUAACGGAGGAGCACGAAGGUUGGCUAAUCCUGGUCGGACAUCAGGAGGUUAGUGCAAUGGCAUAAGCCAGCUUGACUGCGAGCGUGACGGCGCGAGCAGGUGCGAAAGCAGGUCAUAGUGAUCCGGUGGUUCUGAAUGGAAGGGCCAUCGCUCAACGGAUAAAAGGUACUCCGGGGAUAACAGGCUGAUACCGCCCAAGAGUUCAUAUCGACGGCGGUGUUUGGCACCUCGAUGUCGGCUCAUCACAUCCUGGGGCUGAAGUAGGUCCCAAGGGUAUGGCUGUUCGCCAUUUAAAGUGGUACGCGAGCUGGGUUUAGAACGUCGUGAGACAGUUCGGUCCCUAUCUGCCGUGGGCGCUGGAGAACUGAGGGGGGCUGCUCCUAGUACGAGAGGACCGGAGUGGACGCAUCACUGGUGUUCGGGUUGUCAUGCCAAUGGCACUGCCCGGUAGCUAAAUGCGGAAGAGAUAAGUGCUGAAAGCAUCUAAGCACGAAACUUGCCCCGAGAUGAGUUCUCCCUGAGACUUAGAGUCUCCUGAAGGAACGUUGAAGACGACGACGUUGAUAGGCCGGGUGUGUAAGCGCAGCGAUGCGUUGAGCUAACCGGUACUAAUGAACCGUGAGGCUUAACCUU
RNAcentral lists this ribosomal RNA (2992 nucleotides) under Salmonella enterica. RNAcentral describes it as "23S ribosomal RNA". It matches the Rfam family "Bacterial large subunit ribosomal RNA". Lineage: Bacteria; Pseudomonadati; Pseudomonadota; Gammaproteobacteria; Enterobacterales; Enterobacteriaceae. The record is from RNAcentral. RNAcentral also lists the same sequence under 1 other name.